This 1036-nucleotide long non-coding RNA is filed under the name Trifolium pratense (red clover). Its description in RNAcentral is "long non-coding RNA (TPRA_LNC013826)". Lineage: Eukaryota; Viridiplantae; Streptophyta; Magnoliopsida; Fabales; Fabaceae. The record is from RNAcentral.
CUCACAAUCCCAUCUCACACUAUUAUAACCUAAAGACACUACUCAUCCGUACAACAACAAAAUUUCCACUUUUAAUCAAUCUCAUCCUCUUGUUCCCUUUUCUCCAUCUUUUCCAAAUCUCAUCAAACAUCUAUUAGCUUCUCUUCCUUAACUUUACCUACAUGGAAGAUUUCAUCCUUUCACCUUCUUCAUACUCAUCUAUGAUUUCACUCCCCCAUGAAAACCCUUCACAACAAACACAAACCCUUCAAAAAAAAUAUACACAAGUUUUAGCCAUUCUAUGAAACACAAACCCAUUCUAUGAUUUUUGGCUAUAACGAGACAACCCAUUCUUAUUUGAGAGGAAUGAUCAAAAAUAAGAAAAAAAACCAAAAUUGUGUGAUUUUAAAAUAUGGAACAUCAUAAUUCUAUAAAUAAAUAAAAAUAAGGAAGUCCAUUUUCUCAUAGGAAUCUAAUUAGUACCACACUAUUCCAUCUCACAUUAUUUGCAUAUGAGGAUUUGUUGCAGUGAUAAAAGAUCAGAAUAACACGUAGUAAUUUUUCUCAUCCAUUAAUUUCACAUCAGACAGCUUACAACCACAUGCAUCAAAAUAAUCUGGACCAUUCAGCAAAAUUGGACGGUUGAUACUGUAACUAUGUUAACGCAGUUAUAGCAGGUGAUCCGUUUCCAUUAUUUGGACCAAAUUGUCUCGAUCAAUUCCCACCUAUUUUAACAUUAUUACUUCACAAUAUAAGUUCAAGUAAACCCGUCCCCUUGCACUCAUAAAUAUUCCUAUCUUCUCACAAUCCCAUCUCACACUAUUAUAACCUAAAGACACUACUCAUCCGUACAACAACAAAAUUUCCAUUUUUUAUCAAUCUCAACCUCUUGUUCCCUUUUCUCCAUCUAUUAGCUUCUCUUCCUUAACUUUACCUACAUGGAAGAUUUCAUCCUUUCACCUUCUUCAUAUUCAUCUAUGAUUUCACUCCCCCAUGAAAACCCUUCACAACAAACACAAACCCUUCAAAAAAAACUUCAAUUAUUACUACAAACCCA